UGCUUCUCCCCUCUCUGUCUCUGUCUCCAUUUCUCUCUCCUCCCUCCCUCAUGCUGCCUUGUCUCCCUCCAGCCUCCCUCCGCCCCUCCCUCCGACCUUCACCACCCAGCUCAACACUCACCUGUGUCAGGCGUUCUCUGAGGAAUCUGCGCACUCACAUACACGGAUAACUGACUGGCUUCUCCUCCGGCUUCCACAGCACUCUGUCCAUGCCGGCCAGCAGAGCUUUGAUCACUGCGAACGGGGAGACUUCUUGUCACCGGGAAAGAGCUCACCCCACCACUCAGCAGGGGCAUGGUGGUGGCUAGUGAAUGCCUACUGAGUGGGCAGAAUUCUGAAAGAUGAAUGAAUGCAGUGUUACUUAUAGACAGCAGUUGUUUCAGUGGAGCUGAUUUGGGAGUUAUUCAUAAGUGUGUGUCACACCCAGUCCUCUCCCUUCGCUCCCAUGUCCUCAGCAGGAAGCCACUGCUGGGGGAGAUGAGCCAUGGCCCCACCCUGUGGAAGACAGCGACACGUGUCAGGUGGAUGCAUGACAGGAGACGGUGCCUAUGUGCUCAGAAACAUUUCCCAGAUAAAGGAUGAAGCAAUGAAAAAAAUAUUCAUGGAAGAAGGCUACUAAAGACCAGAUUUAUGGCGUUUAAAUACAAGAUGGGAUUUGAUCAAUGGAAUGAAGAACAGAGAAAGUACUGCAGGUAGGAGAAGCUUUUUCAUACAGAUGUGGAGGUAGAAAGAAGCACUGGUGUUGUGGCGUAGAUCUAAAAUACCCCCCACCGCCUCGUGUGUUUAGAGGCUUCUACCCUUACUGGGUUAUGGAAGCUUGGGCUUGGGAGGCGGGGCGUGGCAAAGGAGCAGGUCAGUGGGGCGUGGCCUGGCAGGUGGUCCCUGGGGCUGCAGCCUGGAAGGUUUCUGUGCCAGCCCCCUCCCCUGGCCCUCCCUUCAGGUUCUCUGGUUCCAGUCAGCCAAGCCCUGAGCAACUCUCCACGCUCCUUUGCCAGGCUGUUCCUUCUUUGGAGCUGCCAGCCUGGGACUGAAAUGUGGACUAAAAUAAACUCCUUUAAGGUGCCAGUGGUCCAGUAUUUUGUCCCACAGGGAGGAAGGCAAGUAAGACAAGUGGGCGUGAAAGGACCGGAGAGUUAGUUCAGUGAUUGUCUGAGGGAAAAUCAGCUAAUGAAGAUAUGGUUGGAAUUGUUCAACUGGAGCCGUAUUUCUUAGACAAGCAAGGUAAUUAAUGGUGUCUAAGGAGUGGGGAGAUGGACGAAGAUGGUAUUUAGGGAGUUUCCAAGCUGUGUAUUGGAAACUCCAGUGUAGAAAGCACAAAAAUUUUACUGCAAAUGAGACAUGAGGUAACGGUAGCCAGAUCAGAGCGGUGACCAUGAGCGGACGGCAGGAAGUGGGAACGGCAAGAGGAUCAAGCAAGGGAAGAAACGCGCAAGAUGCUGGCCGCCUGGCCGAAUCAGCGGGGGAAGGAAAUCAGGGCUCGCUGGGUCAGGAUGAGUCUGCUGUCAGCCAGAGUUUGCUCAAGAGGGGAGCCCGGGGCAGGUGGGAAGCGCAAGUUUGAUCUGUGGUUAUUUUGAGUCUACUGAGGAAGUGCAGGACUAGAGCUUUCAAGAGAAGAACGUGCUGAAAAUAGCAAAGUUUGAAUCGUGUUGGUACAAACAAUAGCUAAGGCUGGGAGGCAGCUGGUUUGAGGUUUCUGUGGAAGACACAGGGACAGAGGGGAUAGAUCAUCAAAGAGAGCAGUUAGGAGGGUAAGAAGAGGUAAAGAAGAACGCCCAAAGUGCUAACAUGGGGCUGGGGUGUAGCUCAGUGCCGAGCGUUUGCCUAGCAUGUGCUGGGCCCUAGGUUCAAUCUUCAGCACUCAGAAAAAAAAUGCUAGUGUGACCACAAACCACGAAUGGAAGACACUUCCAGAAUCAGGCUGAAUCCUGAGUACAAAUAAGAAAAACUAGUAACAGCACGGAAAAGU
RNAcentral lists this long non-coding RNA (1966 nucleotides) under Chinchilla lanigera (long-tailed chinchilla). Its description in RNAcentral is "lncRNA (ENSCLAG00000024715.1)". The record is from RNAcentral. Lineage: Eukaryota; Metazoa; Chordata; Mammalia; Rodentia; Chinchillidae.